CUUGUUCGGUGUUAACAAAUAGAAAGACUUUCUUUAAAGUGAUUCUUAUUGAAAUUGAGCAGAGAUAGUAAUAUAUUCGUGGAUUUUCCACACAGGAGGUACUACAAUGGUACAAGGUAAAGUAAAAUGGUUUAAUGCAGAAAAAGGUUUUGGAUUCAUCGAAGUAGAAGGACAAGACGACGUAUUCGUACACUUCUCAGCUAUCCAAGGCGAAGGUUUCAAAUCACUUGAAGAAGGUCAAGAAGUUACAUUUGAAAUCGAAGAUGGAGCUCGUGGACCACAAGCUGCUAACGUUCAAAAGUAAUUGAUUAAGAAGCUGUCACUAAUGUGACAGCUUCUUUU
This 342-nucleotide small RNA is filed under the name Priestia megaterium. Its description in RNAcentral is "cspA". It matches the Rfam family "cspA thermoregulator", at positions 87 to 428 of the family's 428-position model. The record is from RNAcentral. Lineage: Bacteria; Bacillati; Bacillota; Bacilli; Caryophanales; Bacillaceae. RNAcentral also lists the same sequence under 1 other name.